GAACGAGGAUAUAUCCUUCGGGAUAUAAGCCGAGUGGCACAAGGGUGAGCAAUGCAUAGAUUACCUACCUUUAGGAUAAGGGCAACUUUGUGAAAACGGAGCUAAUACUUAAUAAUACAAAAGAAAAUAAUUUCCUUUUGUCAAAGGGAGGGUAGCAAUACCUUUCGCCUAGAGAGGGGUUUAUGUCCUAUCAGCUUGUUGGUGGGGUAAUAGCCUACCAAGGCGAAGACGGGUAGCCGGUUUAAGAGGAUGGUCGGCCACACUGGGACUGAGACACUGCCCAGACUUCUACGGAAGGCUGUAGUCGAGAAUCUUUCGCAAUGCCCGAAAGGGUGACGAAGCGACGUCGCGUGGGUGAAGAAGGCCUUCGGGUUGUAAAGCCCUGUCAGGAGUUAUGAAAUGUAAGUGCGCUAAUAACGUGCUUAUUUGACAAAGGCUCCAAAGGAAGCCACGGCUAACUCUGUGCCAGCAGCCGCGGUAAUACAGAGGUGGCGAGCGUUGUUCGGAAUUAUUGGGCGUAAAGAGCACGUAGGUGGGUUUGCAAGUCAGAUGUGAAAGCCUUCUGUUCAACGGAAGAAUUGCAUCUGAAACUGCUAAUCUUGAGUAUAGGAGGGGAGAAUGGAACUUCUGGUGGAGCGGUGAAAUGCGUAGAUAUCAGAAGGAACGCCGGCGGCGAAAGCGAUUCUCUGGCCUAUUACUGACACUCAGUGUGCGAAAGCUAGGGGAGCAAACGGGAUUAGAUACCCCGGUAGUCCUAGCCGUAAACGAUGGGCACUAAGUAGAGGGGAUUACCUAUAUCCUCUCUGCCGUAGCUAACGCAUUAAGUGCCCCGCCUGGGGAGUACGGCCGCAAGGCUAAAACUCAAAAGAAUUGACGGGGGCUCGCACAAGCGGUGGAGCAUGUGGCUUAAUUCGAUGCAACGCGAAAAACCUUACCGGGGCUUGACAUGAUAGAAGUAGGAACCUGAAAGGGGGACAAACGGUAUCCAGUCCGUAGCUAUUACAGGUGUUGCAUGGCUGUCGUCAGCUCGUGUCGUGAGACGUUGGGUUAAGUCCCCUAACGAGCGAAACCCUUGUUUUUAGUUACCAUCGGGUUAUGCCGGGUACUCUAGAAAGACUGCCGUCGUCAAGACGGAGGAAGGUGGGGAUGACGUCAAGUCAUCAUGGCCCUUAUGCCCCGGGCUGCACACGUGCUACAAUGGUCGGUACAGACGGAAGCGAAGCCGAGAGGUGAAGCGAAUCCUAAAAAGCCGAUCUCAGUUCGGAUUGGAGGCUGAAAUUCGCCUCCAUGAAGUUGGAAUCGCUAGUAAUCGCGGAUCAGCAAUGUCGCGGUGAAUAUGUUCCCGAGCCUUGUACACACCGCCCGUCAAGCCACCCAAGCAGGAUGCACCCGAAAACAUUAUAUCUAACCAGGGUAACUUGGAGGAAAAUGUUGAAGGAGUGUUUUGUGA
RNAcentral lists this ribosomal RNA (1450 nucleotides) under uncultured anaerobic ammonium-oxidizing bacterium. Its description in RNAcentral is "16S ribosomal RNA". It matches the Rfam family "Bacterial small subunit ribosomal RNA". The record is from RNAcentral.